Molecule: non-coding RNA, 79 nt
Organism: Termitomyces sp. Mi166#008
Lineage: Eukaryota; Fungi; Basidiomycota; Agaricomycetes; Agaricales; Lyophyllaceae
Source: the annotation of a GenBank genome assembly
GUCCUAGUCGAUUAGUGGUCAAAUCAUCUCGUUGUGGUUGGGCUCCGAGAAGCCGGAAGUUCGAAUCCUCCCUGGGACA